GUCUGAGUGGCUCAGUUGGUUGAGCAUCCAACUUUGGCUCAGGUCAUGAUCUUGCAGUGCAUGGGUUCAAGCCCCGUGUCAGGCU
RNAcentral lists this transfer RNA (85 nucleotides) under Felis catus (domestic cat). It matches the Rfam family "tRNA". From Rfam's summary of the family: Transfer RNA (tRNA) molecules are approximately 80 nucleotides in length. Their secondary structure includes four short double-helical elements and three loops (D, anti-codon, and T loops). The record is from Rfam by way of RNAcentral. RNAcentral also lists the same sequence under 3 other names. Lineage: Eukaryota; Metazoa; Chordata; Mammalia; Carnivora; Felidae.